AUACGGAGGGUGCGAGCGUUAAUCGGAAUUACUGGGCGUAAAGCGCGCGUAGGCGGCCUGAUCAGUCGGAUGUGAAAGCCCUGGGCUCAACCUGGGAAUUGCAUUCGAAACUGUCAGGCUAGAGUAUGGGAGAGGGAAGUGGAAUUUCCGGUGUAGCGGUGAAAUGCGUAGAUAUCGGAAGGAACACCAGUGGCGAAGGCGACUUCCUGGCCCAAUACUGACGCUCAGGUGCGAAAGCGUGGGUAGCGAACAGGAUUAGAUACCCGAGUAGUCC
This 274-nucleotide ribosomal RNA is filed under the name uncultured bacterium. Its description in RNAcentral is "partial 16S ribosomal RNA". It matches the Rfam family "Bacterial small subunit ribosomal RNA", at positions 523 to 796 of the family's 1533-position model. The record is from RNAcentral.